AGUGGGCACCUGAUGCUGCUGUCCCUUGAGCUGGGGGCACAGCUAGGAGGCACUAGAGUCCAGCCCAGGGGCUUGAAAUUAUAAGCCGAGGCACUUCCCCAGAGGAACAGGAAGCGUCAGCCCCCGUAGCACCUCUGUUACCACAACUUCUAGUGCCUCUGUUACCACCACCUCUAAUGCCUCUGGUCGCCGCACUUCUGAUGUCCGUAGGCCUUAAAUCUGCCUGGCGUCCCCUCCCUCUGUCUUCAGCACCCAGAGGAAGAGAGAGCCGGCAGUUCCCUGCAGGAGAGAGGAGGGGCUGCUGGACCCAAGGCUCAGUCCCUCUGCUCUCAGGACCCCCCGUCCUGACUCUCUCCUGAUGAUGGGCCCUCUGUGCUCUUCUCUUUCUGUCGGAUCUCUCUCCUCUCUGACCUGGAUACUCUUUGGUUUCUCAACUUCUCUACCCCAAAGAAAAGAUUAUUCAAUAAAGUUUCCUGCCUUUCUGCAAACAU
RNAcentral lists this small RNA (491 nucleotides) under Pan troglodytes (chimpanzee). Its description in RNAcentral is "processed transcript". The record is from RNAcentral. Lineage: Eukaryota; Metazoa; Chordata; Mammalia; Primates; Hominidae.